GCAUCCUUAGCUCAGUUGGUUAGAGCAUCAGUUUUACAUACUGAGGGUCACUAGUUCAAGUCUAGUAGGAUGUACCA
Molecule: transfer RNA, 77 nt
Filed under: Rhizobium phage RHph_TM61
Lineage: Duplodnaviria; Heunggongvirae; Uroviricota; Caudoviricetes; Kleczkowskaviridae
Also listed under: 5 other names
Description: tRNA-Val
Rfam family: tRNA
About the family: Transfer RNA (tRNA) molecules are approximately 80 nucleotides in length. Their secondary structure includes four short double-helical elements and three loops (D, anti-codon, and T loops).
Source: RNAcentral